Molecule: long non-coding RNA, 205 nt
Filed under: Brassica napus (rape)
Lineage: Eukaryota; Viridiplantae; Streptophyta; Magnoliopsida; Brassicales; Brassicaceae
Description: long non-coding RNA (BNAP_LNC027196)
Source: RNAcentral
GCUAAACAACUAUUAUAGACAAGCAAAACAUAUCUUAUCACAUAUAAUUCUUCCUCACCUAAAAUUUUUUAAAAAACAAAAAUCAUUAUCGUACAUAUUUUUUGCAAAUGCAAACCUAAAACAGAAGACAAAAAAUCAUACAAAAUAAUAAUAACUUAGAUCAUAAGUAAAGUAUAUCCCGCCCGUAGGGCGGGCCGGCCCUAGU